Molecule: transfer RNA, 72 nt
Filed under: Caudoviricetes sp.
Lineage: Duplodnaviria; Heunggongvirae; Uroviricota; Caudoviricetes
Description: tRNA-Gln
Rfam family: tRNA
About the family: Transfer RNA (tRNA) molecules are approximately 80 nucleotides in length. Their secondary structure includes four short double-helical elements and three loops (D, anti-codon, and T loops). Further hydrogen bonds mediate the characteristic L-shaped molecular structure. tRNAs have two regions of fundamental functional importance: the anti-codon, which is responsible for specific mRNA codon recognition, and the 3' end, to which the tRNAs corresponding amino acid is attached (by aminoacyl-tRNA synthetases). tRNAs cope with the degeneracy of the genetic code in two manners: having more than one tRNA (with a specific anti-codon) for a particular amino acid; and 'wobble' base-pairing, i.e. permitting non-standard base-pairing at the 3rd anti-codon position.
Source: RNAcentral
UGGGCUAUCGCCAAGCGGUAAGGCACAGGAUUUUGAUUCCUGCAUUCCCCGGUUCGAAUCCGGGUAGCCUAA